AGAACGAACGCUGGCGGCAUGCCUAACACAUGCGAGUCGAACGAGACCUUCGGGUCUAGUGGCGCACGGGUGCGUAACGCGUGGGGAUCUGCCCUUUGCUUCGGAAUAACAGUUAGAAAUGACUGCUAAUACCGGAUGAUGACUUCGGUCCAAAGAUUUAUCGGCAAAGGAUGAACCCGCGUAGGAUUAGCUAGUUGGUGGGGUAAAAGGCCUACCAAGGCGACGAUCCUUAGCUGGUCUGAGAGGAUGAUCAGCCACACUGGGACUGAGACACGGCCCAGACUCCUACGGGAGGCAGCAGUGGGGAAUAUUGGACAAUGGGCGAAAGCCUGAUCCAGCAAUGCCGCGUGAGUGAUGAAGGCCUUAGGGUUGUAAAGCUCUUUACCCGGGAUGAUAAUGACAGUACCGGGAGAAUAAGCUCCGGCUAACUCCGUG
RNAcentral lists this ribosomal RNA (435 nucleotides) under uncultured bacterium. RNAcentral describes it as "bacterial SSU rRNA". It matches the Rfam family "Bacterial small subunit ribosomal RNA", at positions 26 to 507 of the family's 1533-position model. The record is from RNAcentral.